RNAcentral lists this small nuclear RNA (129 nucleotides) under Tupaia belangeri (northern tree shrew). The record is from RNAcentral. Lineage: Eukaryota; Metazoa; Chordata; Mammalia; Scandentia; Tupaiidae.
GUGCCCUAUAGUGAAAACCUCCCCCCCCCAAAAAAAAGUACAUAAAAUAAUAUUUGAAUGAUUCAGAGAAGAUUAGCAUGGGUCUGGUGCAAACUUAAUAUGCAAAUUCCUAAAGCAUUCCAUACUUUU